ACUCCCUCAUUAGCAUCUCAUCCUAAGGACACCUUCUACCUCCUUGUCCUCUAAGCAAUGCUUUUCAAACCCUACAGACCAGUGCCUGCAUCAGAAUAAUGAGGAAGGGCUUUUGGAAUACUAUGCAGCCAUGUCCCUCUGCAGGGACAUGGAUGAAGCUGGAAACCGUCAUUCUCAGCAAACUAACAUAAGAACAGAAAACCAAACACCACAUGUCCUCACUCAUAAGUGGGAGUUGAACAAUGAGAAUACAUGGACACGGGCAGUGACCUGAGAAGCUACGUAUUGACACGGCGCUACCACGGGUGGAGGAGCCUGCAUUGCUGAAUCACAGGAUGAAGGCGAAUCCCUGCCAGCCUCCAUCCAUCUCUGGGGUGCUUAGCAGAAUCCUCAGCUCACAAGAUGAAUAAAUGCAGACUAAAUGAUGCACAAAUAAUCUUCACACACAACCAUCAACACAUGGAAAGACUGCAGGACGGCCAGAUCCCAAGCUAACAAACAGGGGAAGAUGAUGUUUCAAAUGAUCAUCUGAAUGCUGGGUUUCCACCUUCCACCAGGAAGUCAUAUGGUAAAAAGAAAAAAAAUGGCAUUAUGAUACAAACAGAAAAUGUAACAGUGGAGUGCAGAAAAUACAAAAAAAAGGAAAAAAUAAAUAGAAAAUCUUCAAAGAGGCAAUCUGUUUAAAUCUUCAAGAACUGGAAACAGUAAAAGUGAACAGGUUUUUAUUGAGCAUGUCAAUAAAAUGUUUGCAUAAGACUUUACAA
Molecule: long non-coding RNA, 764 nt
Filed under: Homo sapiens (human)
Lineage: Eukaryota; Metazoa; Chordata; Mammalia; Primates; Hominidae
Description: cancer/testis associated transcript 69
Source: RNAcentral